GUACUACCUCUGCUUGCAGUUGCGAGAUGACAUCGUGUCCGGAAGGCUGCCCUGCUCCUUCGUUACCCUGGCCUUGCUGGGCUCCUACACUGUCCAGUCAGAGCUCGGAGACUAUGACCCAGACGAAUGUGGGAGCGAUUACAUUAGUGAGUUCCGCUUUGCACCAAACCACACUAAAGAACUGGAAGACAAAGUGAUCGAGCUGCACAAGAGCCACAGAGGAAUGACGCCAGCAGAAGCAGAGAUGCAUUUCUUGGAAAAUGCCAAAAAAUUAUCAAUGUAUGGGGUAGAUUUACAUCAUGCUAAGCCAAACUCCAUCAUUUGAAGAAGCAAAUUUACUGAAACAAAUUGGAACUAAUCUCCGGUUAUGAGCGAGAUGCCUCGCUUCUGUUGACGGUGUGAAAGACCCUGAGCUUUACAAUCCAUUUAAAAAUUCUGAGCUGGAAUCCUGUAUGAAGAAUAAAUACCCAUAUUACACAAA
RNAcentral lists this small RNA (481 nucleotides) under Pan troglodytes (chimpanzee). Its description in RNAcentral is "processed transcript". Lineage: Eukaryota; Metazoa; Chordata; Mammalia; Primates; Hominidae. The record is from RNAcentral.